This 216-nucleotide ribosomal RNA is filed under the name uncultured Enterobacteriaceae bacterium. RNAcentral's name for it is "partial 16S ribosomal RNA". It matches the Rfam family "Bacterial small subunit ribosomal RNA", at positions 1168 to 1382 of the family's 1533-position model. The record is from RNAcentral. Lineage: Bacteria; Pseudomonadati; Pseudomonadota; Gammaproteobacteria; Enterobacterales; Enterobacteriaceae.
GGAAGGUGGGGAUGACGUCAAGUCAUCAUGGCCCUUACGACCAGGGCUACACACGUGCUACAAUGGCGCAUACAAAGAGAAGCGACCUCGCGAGAGCAAGCGGACCUCAUAAAGUGCGUCGUAGUCCGGAUUGGAGUCUGCAACUCGACUCCAUGAAGUCGGAAUCGCUAGUAAUCGUGGAUCAGAAUGCCACGGUCGAAUACGUUCCCGGGCCUU